This 478-nucleotide ribosomal RNA is filed under the name Streptococcus sanguinis. RNAcentral describes it as "bacterial SSU rRNA". It matches the Rfam family "Bacterial small subunit ribosomal RNA", at positions 28 to 490 of the family's 1533-position model. The record is from RNAcentral. Lineage: Bacteria; Bacillati; Bacillota; Bacilli; Lactobacillales; Streptococcaceae.
GACGAACGCUGGCGGCGUGCCUAAUACAUGCAAGUAGAACGCUGAAGAGAGGAGCUUGCUCUUCUUGGAUGAGUUGCGAACGGGUGAGUAACGCGUAGGUAACCUGCCUGGUAGCGGGGGAUAACUAUUGGAAACGAUAGCUAAUACCGCAUAAAAUUGAUUAUUGCAUGAUAAUUAAUUGAAAGAUGCAAUUGCAUCACUACCAGAUGGACCUGCGUUGUAUUAGCUAGUUGGUGAGGUAACGGCUCACCAAGGCGACGAUACAUAGCCGACCUGAGAGGGUGAUCGGCCACACUGGGACUGAGACACGGCCCAGACUCCUACGGGAGGCAGCAGUAGGGAAUCUUCGGCAAUGGGGGGAACCCUGACCGAGCAACGCCGCGUGAGUGAAGAAGGUUUUCGGAUCGUAAAGCUCUGUUGUAAGAGAAGAACGGGUGUGAGAGUGGAAAGUUCACACUGAGGCGGAUCUACCAGAAAG